RNAcentral lists this ribosomal RNA (404 nucleotides) under uncultured bacterium. RNAcentral describes it as "bacterial SSU rRNA". It matches the Rfam family "Bacterial small subunit ribosomal RNA", at positions 355 to 776 of the family's 1533-position model. The record is from RNAcentral.
UGGGGAAUCUUGCACAAUGGGCGAAAGCCUGAUGCAGCGACGCCGCGUGAGCGAUGAAGCCCUUCGGGGUGUAAAGCUCUUUCGACGGGAACGAUAAUGACGGUACCCGGAGAAGAAGCUGCGGCUAACUACGUGCCAGCAGCCGCGGUAAUACGUAGGCAGCAAGCGUUGUUCGGAAUUACUGGGCGUAAAGCGUGCGUAGGCGGUGUCAUAAGUUUGGUGUGAAAUCUCCCGGCUCUACUGGGAGGGUGCGCCGAAGACUGUGAUGCUCGAGUAUGGGAGAGGUAGGCGGAAUUCCUGGUGUAGCGGUGAAAUGCGUAGAUAUCAGGAGGAACACCUGUGGUGUAGACGGCUUACUGGACCAUGACUGACGCUGAGGCACGAAAGUGUGGGUAGCAAACAGG